ACGGGAGGCAGCAGUGGGGAAUAUUGGACAAUGGGGGAAACCCUGAUCCAGCGACGCCGCGUGAGUGAAGAAGUAUUUCGGUAUGUAAAGCUCUAUCAGCAAGGAAGAAAAUGACGGUACUUGACUAAGAAGCUCCGGCUAAAUACGUGCCAGCAGCCGCGGUAAUACGUAGGGAGCAAGCGUUAUCCGGAUUUACUGGGUGUAAAGGGAGCGUAGACGGCAAAGCAAGUCCGAAGUGAAAUCCCGGGGCUCAACCCCGGAACUGCUUUGGAAACUGUUUAGCUAGAGUGCAGGAGAGGUAAGCGGAAUUCCUAGUGUAGCGGUGAAAUGCGUAGAUAUUAGGAGGAACACCAGUGGCGAAGGCGGCUUACUGGACUGUAACUGACGUUGAGGCUCGAAAGCGUGGGGAGCAAACAGGAUUAGAUACCCUGGUA
This 434-nucleotide ribosomal RNA is filed under the name uncultured Lachnospiraceae bacterium. Its description in RNAcentral is "partial 16S ribosomal RNA". It matches the Rfam family "Bacterial small subunit ribosomal RNA", at positions 341 to 792 of the family's 1533-position model. The record is from RNAcentral. Lineage: Bacteria; Bacillati; Bacillota; Clostridia; Lachnospirales; Lachnospiraceae.